Molecule: transfer RNA, 65 nt
Filed under: Gandalfus puia
Lineage: Eukaryota; Metazoa; Arthropoda; Malacostraca; Decapoda; Bythograeidae
Description: tRNA-Glu
Source: RNAcentral
GUUUUUAUAGUGUAAGAAACAUGUUACAUUUUCGUUGUAAAGCUGAAACACAGUUUCUAAAAACU